GAUGAACGCUAGCUACAGGCUUAACACAUGCAAGUCGAGGGGAAACGACAUCGAAAGCUUGCUUUUGAUGGGCGUCGACCGGCGCACGGGUGAGUAACGCGUAUCCAACCUGCCCACCACUUGGGGAUAACCUUGCGAAAGUAAGACUAAUACCCAAUGAUAUCUCUAGAAGACAUCUGAAAGAGAUUAAAGAUUUAUCGGUGAUGGAUGGGGAUGCGUCUGAUUAGCUUGUUGGCGGGGUAACGGCCCACCAAGGCUACGAUCAGUAGGGGUUCUGAGAGGAAGGUCCCCCACAUUGGAACUGAGACACGGUCCAAACUCCUACGGGAGGCAGCAGUGAGGAAUAUUGGUCAAUGGACGAGAGUCUGAACCAGCCAAGUAGCGUGCAGGAUGACGGCCCUAUGGGUUGUAAACUGCUUUUAUAAGGGAAUAAAGUGAGCCUCGUGAGGCUUUUUGCAUGUACCUUAUGAAUAAGGACCGGCUAAUUCCGUGCCAGCCGCCGCCGUAA
Molecule: ribosomal RNA, 508 nt
Filed under: uncultured bacterium
Lineage: Bacteria
Description: partial 16S ribosomal RNA
Rfam family: Bacterial small subunit ribosomal RNA
Source: RNAcentral